This 468-nucleotide ribosomal RNA is filed under the name uncultured bacterium. RNAcentral's name for it is "partial 16S ribosomal RNA". It matches the Rfam family "Bacterial small subunit ribosomal RNA", at positions 28 to 507 of the family's 1533-position model. The record is from RNAcentral.
GACGAACGCUGGCGGCGGGCUUAACACAUGCAAGUCGAACGGAAAGGCCCUGCUUUUUUGGGGUUCUCGAUUGGCGAACGGGUGAGUAACACGUGUGUAACCUACCCUUGACUUUGGUAUAACUUCAGGAAACUGGGGCUAAUACCGUAUAGGAUCUCCUUCUGCAUUGUGGGGGUUGGAAAUUCUCGGCUGUUGGGGCUGGAUUCGCGGCUUAUCAGCUUGUUGGUGGGGUAGUGGCUUACCAACGGUUUGACGGAUCGCCGGCAUGGGAGGGUGACCGGCGACAUUGGGACUGAGAUACGGCGCAGACUCCUACGGGAGGCAACAGUGGGAAACAUUGUACAAUGAGAGGACGCCUGAUGAAGCAACGCCGCGUGCGGGAUGACGGCCUUCUGGUUGUAAACCGCUGUCGCCUGUGACGAAGCGUGAGUGACGGUAAUGGGUAAAGAAGCACCGGCUAACUACGUG